ACACCGUUGAAAGAUGAAGAAGAAAGAGAUGAGAAAAAGAUUGAUGGAGGGACAGCUUUGGAAGUGAGUGAGAAUGAAGCCAUUUUCAUUACAUUUCAGUAACCACAGGAGAGGAGGCAUGAACAGUGAUAACAUUUCUGCCAAAUAUGAAGUUUUGCAGUAAAACGAUUAAAAUGUGUUAAAUACCAGAGCUUGAUUAGUUCAGCUUCCUCAGCUUGCAUUAAAACCAAACUCCUGUUUCCGCUGAUGCUGUGGAUUUCUGAACGUAACCUCGGGAGAUAAUAUAUUUCAGCCUUGCAUGGCACUAUUUCUCUCUUUAACAGAUAACGUGUGUAGGACUGUAUAUACAUAUAUUUUCCUAACCUUUUGCACAGAUUGGAUUUCAUUGUGGAAUGUGCCUUCUUGCAUGAAAAAGAACAAAUUUUCCCUGUGAAGCUCAAAUUCCUGUUAAUCGAACAUUAAGAUUAAAAGAAAAACACCCCUCUAAACUCUGCCAUGUUUUACCAGCAGCAAUAGAUUUCAUCCUCGUGUGGAUGUGGGUUUAUUUCAGGAUAGCAUUAGACCAAAUCCCCCCUGUGACAAGUUUGAAAAGUGAGCUUGGAGUGUUUUGUUUACUUCAGAAACAUGUGAGCCAGCUGGCUGUAGCAGUAAGAAUCUAUUAACAUGGUCCACUUUAAUUCUCAAGCUGAUUAAAUGUCCCACUCCACUGCUCCAUAUAGACACCUGAUGGGCAGCAUAAAACCUUGCCCAGCUGUACAGGCCUGAGGCGGAGGUCCGAUGUCACAGCAGGGUUGAACUGAAUAUCUUAGCAUCUGCUCCUGUCUGCUUGAGAAGCAUGGACAGAUUAGGGAACCUGGCGGGGUCUGUGAUUAUCUCGGGGCCUUGUCUGAGACAGAGCUGUGGCCGGCAGAGGCCCACAAGGCGGUGUCGCCUUCCUCAAAUUGAAUUGGGAAGGAUUUGAAGGGUUUAAAGGCUUUGGCACUGGGUGAGAGGGAAUCAGAUAGGGGGCGAAGACGCUUGGAUGCUGUGAAAAGCUUGAUAGUGGAGGGGCACAAAUUGAGAGGUAUAGAGGGAAAGAUUGGAGGAAGAGAAGACAAAGUGUUGCUGUUUAAGUGAAGAUCAUUUUUAGGUUACAUUGUCUGUGGCUUUAGCUCUCCAAACAACAAUUACACUCUCGAACCCUACACUUCGAUAUUUAAACAGCUGAGGCAGACACUAAUCAUCCUGUUGCCCUUAGCAUAAGGAGGGGUAGAGCUCCAGUGAGGAAUUUAUUCCAGGUUAUGAAACAAACCAACAUUAGUACUGAAGCCCCCAUGUGAGUGACAAAAGCAAACAAGACCACCAUCAUAAAGAUUAACUAAGAUUAUUCUGAGGUGGAUGUGGUUAUUAACUAGUGUUGUGUCGUUCGCAAACGCUUCGUUCAAAAGGACCAAAUCUUUGAAGUGAACGUACUCAAUCGAAUCACUUCCUCAAAUGAUUUGUUCGUUUCUCACUUCAGUUGAGCUGUCAGCAGGGCAGAUGCUAUAGCAUGCAGUAUUGCCAGGCGAGCAGCCAGUGAACGAGGGACCACAUGCACAGACACCUGAAUCACUUGGUAAGGGAAUCACAUUUUUUUUUGUUUGUUUUACUGUUAAAUUGCCACCGCAACAACUUGCAAACAAAAGGACACAGCAUGUAACAAGUAGUGCAUAAAACCCGCAGCAUUCUAUCAUUGCAGCGGUUUGUGAGGGAACGGUGCAUGUUCAGUGUGAAUUCUUCUAAACCUUCAGUGAACGAAUCACUCAUUGAGCCCAAUUUCCUGAGCAGACCUGAUAAAUAGCAUAUCAUAGGACAGUACACUUAAAACAUCCUGAUUUAUUAACAAGUUCCUUUUUACAAACCUGUUUGCCAAAGCAACACAGCCAAACACUCUUGUCUACGGGUCCCAGAAGCUAUGAAUUGAACUGAAUCCUGAACCGUUCAGCUGUGUAUCAGUUCAGGAGGUCAGAGUCACAGGCUCCUCCCGCCAAGCACUGAAUGAUUCAGUGAUUUGAUGAACAAAUCUUUUGAACGAAUCUUUUUAGUGAACUGAUUCUAGUGAUUCAGUUCAUCUAACAGAACUGCCGUGCCCAUAACUAUUAAUAACAGCUCAUCUGCAGAAUGCACCGGAGUUCAAAUUCAUAAGUGGUUUAAAUGAAAUCAUACAUUUGAUCAAUCGACCUGACUAAAAGAGAAAAACACUUUAAUAACAGUAUGAAUGUACACUUAUUUUUCAUUGUAAAGAGGAGUUUAAUGAACAUGAAUACAUUCAAACAUGAAAAACUCCAAACCUUUGUCUUCACCCAAUUUUAGCACCCCUAUAAACAAAGAGAUGCCUCUUGUUUUGUGUCGAUCUUGACCUGUAUGUGUAUAGGUAGUGUUUAUUGCGAUAAAAACUCUUUUUUGCUUUCUUUUGACAGUUUGAUGUAUCAAUUAUUGUGAAUAUUUACUGCGCAAACAGUAGAGCAAAGGCUAUAAGCACGUUUUUUACCACUUUAAUAAAAACCACUUCUCCGAAAUAGUUAAUCCUGUCGCUGGUGGUCCUGUUCACUUUUAUAGGUCAAAGAGGCAUCCCUGUUAAUUCUCAUUAGUUUCGAAACCAGCUAUACUUCACAGGAGCUUUGAAGUGAAACAUUUUGUCACACUUCUGACUCAGAAAAAAAUAAAAUCUGCGUGCUCCCCACAGGAAAAAUAACCUGAAAAUGAUUCAUUGUUUGUUUUUUUGAAGUAGUAAGCAAAAAUGACCACGAGGGAAAUUGUGACUAAAGCGGUGUCCUUUGAAGAAAGAAAUACAGGAUUCCUGUCAGGGAAACACACCACAACCAGAAGUAAUAUCAUCAAGAUCAACUUCAAACUGUGUCUUCAUUUGCAUUUCUGUCUGCUUUUCUGUGUGUUCUCAAAUCAAACCCAGCUUUUUUUCCCUCUAGUAGCACUUUGGGAUAUUUUCUUGAAGAAAGCUCAAAACUGAGUACACGUGUAUAAUUCUUAUUUAGUGCAAAAAUGCUAUUUCUUUUCAAUCUCAGGUGUUUGACAGCAGUGAAAAGGACACACGCCAAAGCAAACUCUUUGUGGUCUUGUCAUUAAGCUGCAAGAGAAAGAAAAUGGAAGUGUGUUUGAUGCAGAGAGCCUAUAGAAUAUAUACUCAUCCUCAGUACAGCACUGUUAGUGAAAUAUAUAGAGAGAAAUACACAGUGUUUAGGUGCCAAAACAGUCAGUGCAGCAGAGUGUGUAACUCAGUGCUGGAAAGGAGCCCUGUCUGGCUGUUAGGAGGUUGGAUGUGAGACCUGUGGCAGGUAGGUGUAAAGUGACAGCACAUUAACUCUAACUCUCCCUUUAUUUUCACCACAGCAUUCCCAAUUUGUGGACUGACAGGCUCUUAAUGACCCCUUCAAGAAGAGACCUUCCCUCGCUUCCAGAACCCGAGGGUCAGGACCGCUCGUUGUCAUGGUUCCCAAACAAUCUCACAAACUGUCAGUCCUCUCGGAAGAGACAAAAUGAGCUGGGGUGGAAAAGAGUGGGAAAAAGAGGUGUGUCUGUAACAUACGGAUGAAAGAACACAAGUAUAACAAAAUACCCAAUAAAAAUGGAAGCUAUUUCCAGGAUUUGAACAGUAAAAGGCUGUGAAAUAUGCAAUAUUCCAAGGUAAGUCAAAGAUUGUGGAAGGCUGCCUCAUUGAUUUAUCAAUAUUUUUAAUCUGACAAAGUGGAGAAGUAGAGGAAACUCCACAGUGAACAUGUUGAGGACUGAGAGUGCUGCACAGAAACGUUGUUUGCCUCUCACCACCAGCAACCCAGCAGCCCAACAGAACAAGAUCGCACUGUGUUGUUGGACAGACAUCAAAGCCAUGAGGACUCAAAUAGUUUUUCUGUCACACUGAGUGACCCAGCAGCACUUCUCCUCCUCCACACACACACACACACACAAACAAACACAAACACACACACAAGUACACACACACAUAAGUCCAUAGAAAACCCAUGCAUGCACAAAUUAACCCACACCAAAAAUGCACCAUUGAAACUGUCCUUUAGCAUUGUGAGAAAAUACACGUUAUUUCCCUUUAAAGUCAGUUAUCUCGACACAGUUUCACACAGUUUUGUAAUCUGCCACAGCUGUCUUGACUUUUGACCCCUCAGUUACCCAGUACCACUAGCACUGCCAAACUUCACUCAGCCUUUCUAUCCCACCGCUCAUGCGGCAUCUGUGGAAAUGUACACCAAAGGUUUUUGUGGCUAAAGUUAGCAUGGUAGCCUUCAAACCACACAAGGAGAGAGGUGAGAGGUGAGGAUGUUUUCACACUUACAGAGUCCUGGGCCUUUGAGGAGGUUCCCCCCAAGAAGAUAUUAGAUUUCAAACGUGUGUUUAACUCACAGCAUGUGGGGACUAAGGGAAACCCUUAGAAAGCACUCACAAAAGAAAAGGCUUUGUGAGUCAAUAAAGACAUUUAUAAGUAAAGACAAAAACAUAUGAGCAAAAGCUGUUCUUGAGUUAUUGUUAUAAAGCAUUAAAUCAAGGAAAGUUGUCAAAAAGCUGCAAUCUAACACAGAACUUUCAAAGUUAACUGUGGUAAACUCCCUUGUCUGGGAGCUUUCAAAAGUGAAUGUACUAUUCAAAAGUGCAGUGGUGUGGUUAUUUACCGUCACAGUAAUAGCAGGAUGAUGUUCCAGGAGCUCACAGUGUGUAAAUAACACAUGAUUGAAGAGAAUUGACACGUUAAUUUCUGACCUUAAUCCAAUCUGGAUUCAGGCACUAAUGCUAACAGCCCUUAUUUUAUAAAUGUGACAUCCCUUUUACAUUUCAAUUUGAAUCUCAUCCUCAGGAAGCUUAUUAUAUGUCUGACACCUGCAUAGUUCUCUGAUGUGAGCCUAUUAGACUUAACUCAAACAGAAAUGUUUGUUGCAAGUUACUGUCAUUUCUUUUUAAUCUUACAGAAAAUGUUAUACUUGGAUGUUUUGAACACAAGUCUGGAUGAUUGGGGGGAGUCAAGCCUCGGCAUCUAAUCGCCACAGACAAACUGCAUUACCCAAGAUAGUCCUGUCUCAAUAUUUCUCUAAAUUUGUUCUCUCGGUACAAAUUGAAGUCAAUUAUCUGGGGCAGGAUUGGAUUAAAAAGCUACGGUUUUCAGGGAAGAGACUGAGUUCUGGUAAGAACUCCAGUAUCAGACUCUUUCCAGUAAUAGCAAUUAUGAUUAUUUGUAUUUAUCCAUAGUGCUUCAGUUCUGACAGACUGUAGAAAAUAGGCUGCACAUCAUAGAGCAGUCAUGGAUAGGUGCCCACUUUGCUCUGCAGUUGGUGAAGAAUUGAAUCAGCAAAGACAACGGCAGUUAUCAAAUACUCUGAUAUUUAUUAAUCAUCUCCAAGUCAUUACUGUAGUGUUUCCAGAAUCUGAUUACUUUUUGAAUAUAAAACAACUCAUAUAAAUUCCAGUAAUAGGCAAAGCUGAAAAAAUGUUUGGUGGCUAGUGUUAUGGCUGGGACCCUGUAUGUACUGUUGAUGAAGUUAGGUGCUGUUCUGAGCAUUAUUUGUGGCUAUAGAGUGGCUUUUUGGUUGAAGUUUGUGUGUGGCUCCUCAGACCGCUGUGAAGCAAGUAGUCGGCAACAUUCAUCUCUCAAGGGGAUGUCUAACUCGGUGUUACGGUCUAUUUGACCCUAAAUUAAUUUUACGCCGGACUAUCCCUUUAAGUUAAAACCAUUUCAGUCAGAAGCUGCUUUUAAGUAUUUAUCUUAAAAUAUUUGACAUUCAACUCAUUUCAUAAUCCAUAAUUUGAUCCAAUAUACUUAUCAAUUUUAAUUCAGUGUUACUACAACUGAGCUGAGAUAAAAAGACAUCUUUCACUCUAAAGAAACUGUCUAAUAGAAACUUAAAACAGAGAGUACAAAAAGGAAACUACGAUAAAUAUUCUCUUUUCUUUGUUUAAAUACAGAGAAAUAAUACAAAGGAUAAAUUCCACACAAACAGCCACAGACAGGCUGCUUUUCCUUUGUAGAUGACCUGAGUCUUCAUCAAAUUCAACACUCAGCACAUGUGGAAAAAACAAAAAUGAAACCAUCCCACAGCAAAGUGUGACUGUGUGACUGUGCACGUGGAUACACUCCAGCCCCCCUGCUGUGUAAUCUAAUGGUGUCGGUCCAAAAAAAAGAGUAAGGACCUCUCCAUGGAAAAAGCGAUGGACUUAAUUAACAGUGAUUGACAGGACCCAGGAGCUGUGGAGCAGCAUGUCUUUUUAUCCAGUCAUGUUGAGUACAACUUUUCAGCUGAAUGCAAAAUGGUGAGUUGUAGUUUGGGGCUUGAGGGAAUUACUGCAGGCAGAUUUUUCUUUGUAAAAACGCAAGAAAUAGUCUAAACUGCUUAAGUGUUAUUAUGUCAGAGAAUGUAGUGAAGUAGAAAUAUCUGCUAACACAGGAUUAGUACUCCCUCUAUGUGGGGCUUAGUCACUCACUCCAAAUAAUUUAUGCCCAAAUGAUUCUUAAAUACUGAUGUGUCACCAUUUUAAUGACCCAAAAAGUAUGAGUAAACGUGUAGUGUGGACAAGGAAGGCUGGCGUGUUCACCCUCUGAGGACACACAUCCUCUGUGACUGACCAAACAAACACUGAGUGCCACAACUCGCCCGAGGAGCAAACAAACAUGCAUUCAUCAGUGGCGUCAGCCCGUCACAAAGCUGUCACAAUUUCGCACUUUUCAGAAGCAUGAGCGGCUUUUUAACUCAGUCCAGAAUCCAUUUUUACCCACGUCCCUCAUCACUCUUAGAGGUGGAGUUGUAGAUAAAGUGAAGAUAGAGUGCUGUAAUUAACCAAGAGGAGGUGGACUUUAAAGGCAGACAGGGCUGAUCAAUGCUGAUGAACAUGGAGGGCAGUGGGUAGUGGAGGCCCCCCCUUAACACAAAACUCUGUGCGGUCAAUCAGGGAGAGUGCUCGAGCCAACCCCAGGUUAACUGCACUCCUACAAAAAUGGGCUCGAAUGGAUCAGCCCUAUUACUCUGGUGACAAUUAGAAAAGACAACUAUUUUUUAAGAUAACCACAAGGUACCUGUGCUUCAACAGAAAGGAUACAUGCUUAGUGGUCACAUCUAAAUCACAAUCACAGUAAACUAAUGCAACUCCUACCUUCCCAACAGAAAUCUGACAAUCUCAGAGAAAGUUUUGGUUUUGUCAUUAGGGUUUUCAGUCUAUGAAUGGUAGCACCGAUAUUGUCCGUGUCAUAAUCUUGUCGUACCAUCUACACAGGACCAUUCAGGGGCUGCCUUUCCCUGUUGUCCGGGGAACAGUGGAAACACAAUCACUGAUUGGCCCGGUUAUUUUCUGAUUUCUAAUACACGCUCCCAACUGGCCGAAGUCCAGACUGUUGUGGGAAGGAACGGCAAGUGAUUCACGCAACAGGAUGGCCCAGCCAGGCUACUUUAAUGGGCCCCACAAAGGGAAGUCUUUCUUUGCCAUUGUCACUGAUGUUGCAAGGGAUGGGUCAAAUCUGUCCUUAAGCCUGGGUCUUGUACUACAUCAAACAAUAAGUGUGGUCUAAACCUGCUCUUUUGGAAAGUGUUUUGGAGUAACAGCAGUUGUGAUUUGGCGCUACAAUCUAAGCAAGAAGAUUUAUGUAAAUUGGCAGAAAUAGCCAGCACAUCAUACAGGUUGACAAGUGAGUACCUGCCUUCACUGUGUUUCAUUAGCUAGUCUCACAACACCUCAAAAUAGUGUACACUUAUAUGGCUCUCAUCCGUAAUGCAAUCACAAGUGAAAAGAAAAAAAAGUGAAGACAGAGAAGAACAUGUCGAAAAGUGAGGAGGACAGGUAAGACAGAUGCACCGUGAGAAGCCUGUUUCGGCUAGAGCUCACUCUUGGUUGCACCUCCCUCAACUUCCCAAAUUUCAUAAAGGAGAAAAUGAGGGAGAAAAGGCAAGAAAAACUACAAGUAUAGACUGUGGAAAGGUGUGAAGGGGACAGAAAAAAGCAGAGCCAGGCUAAGAGGUAUGCAUCCAAGCCCCUCCAGAAUCCAUUUUUACUCAUUUCUUCCUCAUCACUCUUAUUGAUGAAGUUGUAGAUAAACAUAUCCAUUUGUAAAUUACCAGGAGGAGGUGGACUUUGAGAGGCAGAAAGGGCUGAUCAAUGCUGAUGAACGUGGAGGACAGUGAGUAGUGGAGGCCUUCCCUUAAACACAGAACUCUUUGGGUGGUCAAUCAGAGAGAGUGCUGGAGCCAAUUCCACUUUAACUGCACUCCUACUGUUAUUUGUUUGAAUGGAUUGGCCCUUUGGGGACAAAUGAAAAGUCCACUAGUCAUAGAUAUAGUCUCUUAUGACUCUGAUCCAAACUCUAACCCUAACCUUAUUGGUUUACUUACAUUUUCUCACUUUCUUAACCAAAGAUUUAUCUCUUCAAAUGUAUCUAACUUUAAAAACAUGGAUAUUCUGUUGCUUAAGCAUCCCCUUUGCUUUCUAACCUUCAACAAAAACAUAUCCAAAUAUCUGGUCCACUUUAUGCUACUGUUGAAUUAGGAAAUAAAUGAGGAAACCUGGUACAUG
Molecule: non-coding RNA, 8532 nt
Organism: Xyrichtys novacula (pearly razorfish)
Lineage: Eukaryota; Metazoa; Chordata; Actinopteri; Labriformes; Labridae
Source: the annotation of a GenBank genome assembly